GAUGAAGAACGUAGCGAAAUGCGAUAAGUAGUGUGAAUUGCAGAAUUCAGUGAAUCAUCGAAUCCUUGAACGCACAUUGCGCCCCUUGGUAUUCCAUGGGGCAUGCCUGUUCGAGCGUCAUUUGUACCUUCAAGCUUUGCUUGGUGUUGGGUGUUUGUCUCGCCUUUGCGUGUAGACUCGCCUUAAAAUAAUUGGCAGCCGGCGUAUUGAUUUCGGAGCGCAGUACAUCUCGCGCUUUGCACUCAUAACGACAGCGUCCAAAAGUACAUUUUACACUCUUGACCUCGGAUCAGGUAGGGAUACCCGCUGAACUUAAGCAUAUCAAUAAGCGGAGGA
This 336-nucleotide unclassified non-coding RNA is filed under the name soil metagenome. Its description in RNAcentral is "partial contains 5.8S ribosomal RNA, internal transcribed spacer 2, and large subunit ribosomal RNA". The stretch from base 1 to 120 matches the Rfam family "5.8S ribosomal RNA", at positions 35 to 154 of the family's 154-position model. The record is from RNAcentral.